CUAUAAAUAAUAUUAAUUAGAAUUUAUGGAAUGCACAAUUCAUGGAAUUCACCAGAACACAAGAAACCUUUGAGACAGUGUUGCAGUAUUCACUUCUACAGACAAGGACGACCCAUCCUAUUUCCCCUGCAAAGACAGCUGUCCUUCCCUACGAAGGAUUUUAAAUAAUUCUCACUAUGCUGCUCGCAGCAUCAUCCCCAAAGAAAUAUUAAUUUACAAAAUAACCCAAUAUCCAUAUAAUUCUUUUGACAAAUAAAAAUCUUAAAUUAAAAAGCAUGAUUCUCUCCCUCUCCC
Molecule: long non-coding RNA, 294 nt
Filed under: Homo sapiens (human)
Lineage: Eukaryota; Metazoa; Chordata; Mammalia; Primates; Hominidae
Description: lncAB157.1
Source: RNAcentral